RNAcentral lists this ribosomal RNA (497 nucleotides) under uncultured bacterium. RNAcentral's name for it is "partial 16S ribosomal RNA". It matches the Rfam family "Bacterial small subunit ribosomal RNA", at positions 28 to 507 of the family's 1533-position model. The record is from RNAcentral.
GAUGAACGCUGGCGGCGUGCCUAAUACAUGCAAGUCGAGCGAACAGACGAGGAGCUUGCUCCUCUAACGUUAGCGGCGGACGGGUGAGUAACACGUGGAUAACCUACCUAUAAGACUGGGAUAACUUCGGGAAACCGGAGCUAAUACCGGAUAAUAUAUUGAACCGCAUGGUUCAAUAGUGAAAGACGGUUUUGCUGUCACUUAUAGAUGGAUCCGCGCCGCAUUAGCUAGUUGGUAAGGUAACUGCUUACCAAGGCAACGAUGCGUAGCCGACCUGAGAGGGUGAUCGGCCACACUGGAACUGAGACACGGUCCAGACUCCUACGGGAGGCAGCAGUAGGGAAUCUUCCGCAAUGGGCGAAAGCCUGACGGAGCAACGCCGCGUGAGUGAUGAAGGUCUUCGGAUCGUAAAACUCUGUUAUUAGGGAAGAACAAAUGUGUAAGUAACUAUGCACGUCUUGACGGUACCUAAUCAGAAAGCCACGGCUAACUACGUG